GUGUGUCGGUGUGUAUGUGUGUGUGUGAGUGUGCGCGCUCCGAGUGUGUGUGUAUUUGUGUAUCGGCGGUCCCGCAGGUCCCGGAUGUUGCGGACAGUAUGAGGCAAGCGCAGGGGGACGGGGACCAGCAGCUGUCGCCGCCGCUCUCAGGGUGAAGAGGGAACAGAAAUCUUUGCCCCCUGACUUUGGAAAUCUCGUUUAACCUUCAAACUGGCGAUGUCAAGGGUUCCAAGUCCUCCACCUCCGGCAGAAAUGUCGAGUGGCCCCGUAGCUGAGAGUUGGUGCUACACACAGGUAAGUUGAAGUUUUCAGCCUGUGAAUCUUGCAUCUGGGGAGGAUUUGGUGGACGAAAGGAGUAGGAUUGCUUUUCUACAUUGGGCUUCUUGCUUUCUCUGGAACAUAACUGCCAAAGAGCAGAUAGAUAAGAUACUUGUUAGCCUCAGGUUCCUUAGUUUUCCAUGUGGAAUCUAAAUUCCCUAGGCUAGUGUUUUUCAGUGGAGGUUGAAAGGGGGAAUCUUUGAAACUAGAUCUGCUUACAUUGCCCUUGAUGAAAGUGUGUUCUGAGUUUCCUCUGUUGGGGAAACAAGUUUGAGAUGUGCAACCCCAGGCAGUG
RNAcentral lists this long non-coding RNA (613 nucleotides) under Homo sapiens (human). RNAcentral's name for it is "non-protein coding lnc-SLC35B1-2:3". The record is from RNAcentral. Lineage: Eukaryota; Metazoa; Chordata; Mammalia; Primates; Hominidae.